GACGAACGCUGGCGGCGUGCCUAAUACAUGCAAGUAGAACGCUGAAGAGAGGAGCUUACUCUUCUUGGAUGAGUUGCGAACGGGUGAGUAACGCGUAGGUAACCUGCCUUGUAGCGGGGGAUAACUAUUGGAAACGAUAGCUAAUACCGCAUAACAAUGGAUGACAUAUGUCAUUUAUUUGAAAGGGGCAAUUGCUCCACUACAAGAUGGACCUGCGUUGUAUUAGCUAGUAGGUGAGGUAAUGGCUCACCUAGGCGACGAUACAUAGCCGACCUGAGAGGGUGAUCGGCCACACUGGGACUGAGACACGGCCCAGACUCCUACGGGAGGCAGCAGUAGGGAAUCUUCGGCAAUGGGGGCAACCCUGACCGAGCAACGCCGCGUGAGUGAAGAAGGUUUUCGGAUCGUAAAGCUCUGUUGUAAGUCAAGAACGGGUGUGAGAGUGGAAAGUUCACACUGUGACGGUAGCUUACCAGAAAGGGACGGCUAACUACGUG
This 497-nucleotide ribosomal RNA is filed under the name uncultured bacterium. RNAcentral describes it as "partial 16S ribosomal RNA". It matches the Rfam family "Bacterial small subunit ribosomal RNA", at positions 28 to 507 of the family's 1533-position model. The record is from RNAcentral.